UCUCUAGGUACUUUUUGGUGAGAACAAAUGCGGGAGCGUGACCCAAAUCCUCCUGCUCAGCUUGCAGGGUUAGCGACACGGUCGAGGCCCUGUGGGUAAAGACACGUGUGGGAAAGGGCUCAGGCUCUUCCCUCCCUCCUUUUUCUCAUUCGGCCAGCGUAUUUUCCCAGCUGUGCCUUCCUCGCGCUGAGUUUUCCAGGGUUUGCCCCGAGAGCGGCUGUGAAAGGGGGGCUCGGUGCAGCCGGGCCACGGGCUGCGCUGCGGCGGGCCCGGGAAUCGCCUCGGGGCGCUGCUGCCAGCCCACAGAGGAGGCGACGCUCGCUGCAGAUCGUCGAGUGAAGUUCAAGGAUGUCAGAAAACGGAUGUUCAAGAUGCUGAUAGGCAGAUGCAGCCUUGGAGAAAGAGAAGUGAUUUUCCAUGAGCCGAGCGUCCCCGUAGCGUGAAUGGCAGCAUUGUGCGCCUCGAGCUGGGGUCCGGCGGCUCUUACGCUGGCGUGACUCCGGGAUGGCGCUGCAGAAGUCCGUGAGAUCAGGUGAAACCAAGACCCGAUUGUGACCCUCGGCUGUCAACAACAACAACAACAAAAAAGGCUCCUGAAGCUAAUUACAGGAAUACACAAGCGAAGAAAGUUCCUCUUUUUUAUUUUUGGUGCAGGGAAUAAUGAAUGUUGCUAUUUAUCUGAGCUGCUCAGAUUGUACUGUUUAGCAAGAAAGAGGAAAUUAAUUUUAUAGACCAUAUCCACAUUCCUUCCGUAUGGGGGAAAAAAGUCCCUGCCCGUCCUCUUUA
RNAcentral lists this long non-coding RNA (786 nucleotides) under Struthio camelus australis. Its description in RNAcentral is "lncRNA (ENSSCUG00000007040.1)". Lineage: Eukaryota; Metazoa; Chordata; Aves; Struthioniformes; Struthionidae. The record is from RNAcentral.